AGCUUUGUGCAGUGACAGUAUUUUAGCCAAUGAGGUUUAUCCCAGGUGUGAAUAUUGCUAAUUGAAACUAGGGAAUUGGUUGCAGACCCAGGGUAUUUACACCUAUUCAGGCAGCUUCUGUCUCGAGUGGGA
Molecule: small nuclear RNA, 132 nt
Filed under: Salvator merianae (Argentine black and white tegu)
Lineage: Eukaryota; Metazoa; Chordata; Lepidosauria; Squamata; Teiidae
Description: U4 spliceosomal RNA (ENSSMRG00000010804.1)
Rfam family: U4 spliceosomal RNA (bases 1-70)
About the family: U4 small nuclear RNA (U4 snRNA) is a component of the major U2-dependent spliceosome. The structure of U4 snRNA from yeast and human has been reported.
Source: RNAcentral